GCUCAAGUCGCUCAGCCUGGUAGAGCGCUGGUCUGCUAAACCGGUGUCAACCGACGCGUGGGUUCAAAUCCCACCUUGAGCG
Molecule: transfer RNA, 82 nt
Filed under: Promethearchaeota archaeon
Lineage: Archaea; Promethearchaeati; Promethearchaeota
Description: Candidatus Lokiarchaeota archaeon (permafrost metagenome) tRNA-Ser
Rfam family: tRNA
About the family: Transfer RNA (tRNA) molecules are approximately 80 nucleotides in length. Their secondary structure includes four short double-helical elements and three loops (D, anti-codon, and T loops). Further hydrogen bonds mediate the characteristic L-shaped molecular structure. tRNAs have two regions of fundamental functional importance: the anti-codon, which is responsible for specific mRNA codon recognition, and the 3' end, to which the tRNAs corresponding amino acid is attached (by aminoacyl-tRNA synthetases). tRNAs cope with the degeneracy of the genetic code in two manners: having more than one tRNA (with a specific anti-codon) for a particular amino acid; and 'wobble' base-pairing, i.e. permitting non-standard base-pairing at the 3rd anti-codon position.
Source: RNAcentral